This 400-nucleotide ribosomal RNA is filed under the name uncultured prokaryote. RNAcentral describes it as "partial 16S ribosomal RNA". The record is from RNAcentral.
CCUACGGGUGGCAGCCCCGCCGUAGAUCUCGAGCUUCUCGAUGGUCUCCCAGCGCAUAAACGUCGAGAGCAGUCCGCCGAGCCCGAGGAUGUGGUCGAGGUGUCCGUGGGUGAUGAGGAUGCGGUUGAGCCGCUUGAAGCCUAUCCCCGACUGCAAGAUUUGCCGCUGUGUGCCCUCGCCGCAGUCCACCACAAAGCGGUACUCGUCAUGCUGUACCAUGUAGGCGGGCAGGUUGCGUUUGGGUGAGGGUGCCGAUGCGGACGUGCCGAGGAAGGUGAUUUCAAACAAGGGUGGGGGAUCCUUUCUGGAUACGCCCCAAUUUUACCCUAUCUUUUCCUUGCAGAAAUCCGCAUUUCUGGUACAAAUAUUGCACCUAUUCCUCUCAGAUACCCCAGUAGUC